CUGGCGGCGUGCUUACGAUGUAAGUCGGACGGAACCGCAAGGUUCAGUGGCGAACGGCUGAGUAACACGUGAGUGACCUGUCCUGGUGCGGGGGAUAGCCGCUCGAAAGAGUGGGUAAUACCGCGUACGUUGCUGAGGGUGAAGCCUUGGCAGGAAAGCAGAGAUGCGCACUGGGAGGGGCUCGCGGCCCAUCAGGUAGUUGGUGAGGUAGCGGCUCACCAAGCCGAUGACGGGUAGCUGGUCUGAGAGGAUGAUCAGCCAGACUGGGACUGAGAUACGGCCCAGACUCCUACGGGGGGCAGCAGCGGGGAAUAUUGCACAAUGGGCGGAAGCCUGAUGCAGCGACGCCGCGUGAGGGAAGAAGGUCUUCGGAUUGUAAACCUCUUUUGUCGGGGAAGAUGAUGACGGUACCCGGCGAAUAAGCCCCGGCUAACUACGUGCCAGCAGCCGCGGUAAUACGUAGGGGGCGAGCGUUGUCCGGAUUUACUGGGCGUAAAGAGCGCGUAGGCGGUUUGGCAAGUUGGCUGUUAAAUGCCUGGGCUUAACCUGGGUAGGUCGGCCGAGACUGCUGGACUUGAGGGCGGUAGAGGAAGGUGGAAUUCCGGGUGUAGUGGUGAAAUGCUUAGAGAUCCGGAGGAACACCAGUGGCGAAGGCGGCCUUCUGGGCCGUACCUGACGCUGAGGCGCGAAAGCGUGGGUAGCGAACUGAAUUAGAUACUCAGGUAGUCCACGCCCUAAACGAUGGACGCUAGGUGUAGGGGGUAUCGACUCCUCCUGUGC
Molecule: ribosomal RNA, 780 nt
Filed under: uncultured bacterium
Lineage: Bacteria
Description: bacterial SSU rRNA
Rfam family: Bacterial small subunit ribosomal RNA
Source: RNAcentral